GGGGCUGUGGGGAGCAUCACUCCUGCGGGAUGCUGUGCUGGGAUCGAUGAUGUCCUCCCCGCUCCCGGCAGCGCCCGCGAUGUGAUUCCUCCCUGCCGGCGGCACCGCUCCCAGACAAAGGCUGCGCUCAGCUGGACCUGGGCUACCCACGCGAGCGCUCCCACCUUCCCCCAACAUCCAACAGACGGAUCAAAGCCCAUCUUUUGUCAUGGAAAGGAUUAACUCCGCGGGGAACAGCGGCGGAGGCUGAGCCCGCCACGCAUCGCCUGCUUCCCAGCACGCUCAGGAGUUUUGGAGCCAACCUCCCGGCAGCUAAUCCUCCUCGCUGGGAAGAGCCGGCAGGGCGGCAGGUGAAGGGAAGAGAACGGGGAGGAGUGUCCACACACACACACACACAUCCACACACACACACCCGCACACGGCACCGGGCAGCGGCAGCGGAUCGGCGGCUGCGUGCGGGGAGCUCCGCGGGGAGCGCAGCCCGGAAUGAAACCAGCUGGAGCAUCGGCAGAGAGGAGCUGUUCGCUUGGAAAAGUCUUUCAGGAAUCGAUCGGGAGAUGCCGGUGAGAGAAGUUGCUGAAAGGCAAGCUGGAAUGGCCAGGAGCUGCGCGCCGCCGGCCCCGUCACACAGCGGAGCAGCUGAACUUUGUGGGGUCUGAACAUUUUUCUCCUCUGCGAACGCUCUGGGCAGCGCUGACGGGAGAGCCAGGACGGCACCGCACACCUUGAGCCCGACCGAGCCUGGGCUAGUGCCAAGGGGGGAUUUCUGUCUCUCCGAGGAUCAUCGCCUCUGAAAAAAAAAAGAAGGGAAAUUUAGCUUUCUUUUCCAGAUGACUGAAAAUAUCUACAGGAUCCUGUCUCUCCGGUUUUCAUCGGUGAGUAGCAUAAGGGACAGGCAACUGAGGAACAAAAAUGAUAUCAGUCAAAAUCAUUCCAGCACCUACUUUUUCCUAAGGAACUUCAUGGCCAUAGGGGUUUUCUGUGGGCAUUUUCAGGAGUGAGACCGAGGUACCACAGAUGCGUCCCUACCGGAUCAUGUAAGAAUUUGCAAAUGAGAAACGUACCCCAUCCAGACCUUCUCUGCCCGCUUUGCAGUACAUGGUUUGGUGUAAGCACAGCAAUUCUCACCUCUUUCUCUCCCUUUUAAGUCUCUUGAGCUUGGAGACCUCUUUCCUCAUUGCAAUUAUGAUUAUUUGCAACAUCAGUGCCAUCAAAGAUUGGAGCACUUUCCUUUCCCAAAUCCUCCCCAGCGUUAACAAGACUCUGAACUUGGUACGGCAAGUGGAAGCCACCACCAGCUCGGUGGUAAGCGUCCUCCAGGACCCUGAACAGGACAACUACCUGUCCAACAGCCAGUCCAUGAACUCCAGCAACUUCACAGCUGGCCUGGACCAUUUGUUCCAGUACUCAUACUCGGACAAUGACCAGCUCUACAAGGAGUACAAACCCCCUCCUCGAGAUGCCAUUCCUCUGCCCAAGGCUGUCCUCUACCUCCUCAUGGCAGCCCUGGUGGUGGUGGCAGUGGCGUACGCCAUCGUCGGGCAUCUCAUCAAGGACCUCAUUUACGACUUUGUAGACUGGAUCUUUGGCCCCAACCCAGAUGACAACAGCAACAAGAGCGACAUCAACUGCAUCAGCAACAGCGUCAACGAGAUGAGCGAGAUGCCCGAGGCGCCGCGGCACCGCGAGCGCCAGCCCCAGGACGUGGUCAUUGCCAUCAGCGAGACUUGCCACCUGCCACAGCAGACGUGACCCGUGCCACACCCGGGCCAGGCGGGAUGGAGCAGUGGGAUGGAGCAGAAGGAUGGAGCAGAAGGAUGGAGCAGUGAAACAGUGCAGCAGGACCGGGCAGGGAGAGGAAGGGAUGGGCAAAGCCGGCACCGUGGAGCAAAGCCCUUCUCCCCCUGGUUUUACCAGCCUCUAAGGACCUUGCGGGGGUGGGUGGCAUCACCCCUUCUCCCAGGCUUGUCAGCCCUGUCCUGACGUCUGCCCUUGGGUUUGUGACCCCCUCUUUGUUCCCUGUGAAUAGCAAAAAAGAAAAAGCAAAUGCAAAAUGCACCCACCAGACAAAGCUUGCAAGAGAAAUGAGCUGGAGAGAGGCCGGGCGGUUCUUUGGCGUGUGGCUGUCCAGUGGCGUGGGAAUGGGUGGGGAAAAGGGCAAAGGGGACAAGGAGGCUGCAGAGAAAUGUGGUUGUCUGCAUUUCUGGGGACAGGCCCAGGACACAGCAGGGAGCUGGGAGCUGCAGGAAGGCACAGAAAGGUCAGUAGUGGCCAAAUCCCCCAGUACACUGGUGAUCUGCCUGGGCCGUCACUCCUGUUUUUAGUUUUGCAGCUCCAGCUCACAGCCCUUUUCAGCAGGUGUGUCCUGUGGUUCUGGGACAGCAGGGUGACAGCUCAAACUUCCCAGGGAGCCUUAUUCUCCAGGCCUGUAGCCAAGCCAGGGCCAUCACAUUCCCUCCACCACAUCUCUGCUUGAGCCCAGCACCCCCUGACAGGGAGCAGCCCUGUUGGGACCAGGUACAACCCCUUUUUCUGAGGAAUGUUGCUGGAGAGGAGGACAGGGACUCAUCUGUAUGAAAUCCAAACUCUUCAUGAGGGAAAAUAGCCCUUGUAUGUCUGCAUCCUUCAGAUUCAUCCCAGCAUGAUCACCUCCUACAUCACCCCCAAACUUCCUGCCACCCCAAGGGGUGCUGCCUCUGUACUGGGGUCAGCCCCUCGUGCAUUGAUGGAGCAGGGACACCUCCCUCUUCUCCCUGGAUGUCUUCCUCUUCCCAGCCAGAGCACCACCAACCAAAACUGCCCUUCUCUGUGCCCAAAGACAUCCUUUCCCAUUUGUAACUCCAGGCAGAUCCCUGCUCCUCUCUGUUUAAGGGGCUCAGGGGAAAUUCCCUAAUCAUGUGGGGAAAGGAGCAUCCUCAUGGCUUCAUUGCUGUUUUAAGAUCAGCUCUUAUCCCAAUAAGGAUUUUAAACCAGGAUCCAUAAUUUCUCUGUGUAGCAGAGUGGAGGCACUGGGACCAAGCUCAUUCCUUGUGUCUCUCCCUUAUGAAGAUUCCUUUACUCCCCACAUCUUCCCUGGACUUAAAAAAGGUUACGGUGAUGUGCCACAGAGCCAGUCCCGAGAAAAGGCCGUGGUCCAGAAUUCUGCCUCUGCAUUCAGGGAGGCAAAUCCUGCCUUUUCCCAGCCUGCAGUACCCAGCACACCACAAAUAGCAGGGGCCAGAACAGCAUUUUCCCCUUCUGAGAGCAGUUAAGGAAAAUGGAUGUGGUUUCAAACUCCUGCUCCAACUGCUUUAAUGAGAGCCAUUACCAGCAGUCCCACGCUGGGGCUUUGUCGGCUUUUCAGCAAGCAAAGGCGGAGGACAGUACCCCAGACCUCCCCCCGUAAUUAACUAUUUCCAAUCAGACAGUGUUAUG
Long non-coding RNA from Taeniopygia guttata (zebra finch), 3414 nucleotides. The record is from Ensembl. Lineage: Eukaryota; Metazoa; Chordata; Aves; Passeriformes; Estrildidae.